This 284-nucleotide ribosomal RNA is filed under the name uncultured bacterium. Its description in RNAcentral is "partial 16S ribosomal RNA". It matches the Rfam family "Bacterial small subunit ribosomal RNA", at positions 335 to 621 of the family's 1533-position model. The record is from RNAcentral.
ACCCUACGGGGCGCAGCAGUGGGGAAUAUUGCACAAUGGGGGGAACCCUGAUGCAGCGACGCCGCGUGAGUGAAGAAGUAUUUCGGUAUGUAAAGCUCUAUCGGCAGGGAAGAAAAAGCGCGCGAGCGCCCUUGACAGUACCUGACUAAGAAGCCCCGGCUAACUACGUGCCAGCAGCCGCGGUAAUACGUAUGGGGCAAGCGUUAUCCGGAUUUACUGGGUGUAAAGGGAGCGCAGGCGGCCUGCCAAGUCUGGUGUGAAAACCCGGGGCCCAACCCCGGGCC